RNAcentral lists this non-coding RNA (23 nucleotides) under Gallus gallus (chicken). The record is from RNAcentral. RNAcentral also lists the same sequence under 1 other name. Lineage: Eukaryota; Metazoa; Chordata; Aves; Galliformes; Phasianidae.
CACCCGGCUGUGUGCACAUGUGC